GAGACAGAUUUCAAGACAUCUGAAACUACAGAAGGAAACCUCCUGGCCUCCUGUGAUGACAGAGCCAAAGAAUAUUGUUCUGGUCCUGCUUCAUUUAGGUUCCUGGCCACCAGCUGAAAUAACACAAUCCCAAACACAAUCCUACCACAGUGUCACAUGUUGAUUCAGCAUUUCUCCAGCCUGGUGAAGCUUUGCUACCGAAGAAGCGAGGGAAGCGACCGGAGUGCCUCAGCCAUGGGAAACAUGCUUGAAUGAAGAGGUUGAAAAUGCUCCAAGUGCCUGCUGAUUUCUCCCAUGGUAGUGGGUUGAUAAAGUGCCCUGUCACCGGCAGGAGGGCCAUUUUGGGUGAAGAGGAAUGCAAACUUUCUAGAUGCUGCUGCUGUUCAUGACUCAGCAUUUGCCUGCACAUUUGGAGCAAAGUUCCCACUUCAUCCUCAAAUGGUUCCCCAGAACUCAGCAUCUUUCACAGGAGAGCAUCACCAG
RNAcentral lists this long non-coding RNA (483 nucleotides) under Ficedula albicollis (Collared flycatcher). RNAcentral's name for it is "lncRNA (ENSFALG00000027658.1)". Lineage: Eukaryota; Metazoa; Chordata; Aves; Passeriformes; Muscicapidae. The record is from RNAcentral.